UUGAAGAUAGCCGAAGUAUGCAAUGAAGCAGCUAUAUUCGGCAAAGCAAAAAGUUAGAAUUGUAGCACGAAACGUCUUCAACCUAUUCUCAAAUUUUCAAUAAGCAUGACGUCUCGCAUGCUUAAAUGAAACGUAGACAUUGAAUGUGUGCUCCAAGUGCGCCAUUUUUGGUAAGCAGAAACUGGCGCUUUGGGAUGAACUG
RNAcentral lists this non-coding RNA (202 nucleotides) under Loa loa (African eye worm). RNAcentral's name for it is "Eukaryotic large subunit ribosomal RNA". It matches the Rfam family "Eukaryotic large subunit ribosomal RNA", at positions 972 to 1170 of the family's 3401-position model. The record is from Rfam by way of RNAcentral. Lineage: Eukaryota; Metazoa; Nematoda; Chromadorea; Rhabditida; Onchocercidae.